Molecule: RNA transcript, 2459 nt
Organism: Jatropha curcas
Lineage: Eukaryota; Viridiplantae; Streptophyta; Magnoliopsida; Malpighiales; Euphorbiaceae
Gene name: Threonyl-tRNA synthetase
Source: RefSeq, a predicted model, not a curated record
ACCCCUUUCAACGGCUCUCCUUGGCUUCACUCCAUUUCUCAUAUGCUAUGUUCUCUGCUCUUCUGUCUCCGCCGUUACUCAUCUCCUGUCCUCUUUAAAUCUUCUCGCCGACGCUUUAUCUCCUCCUUAGCCACUACCAUCAUGGCGGCUUCGCAUCCAAAAGACGAAGCGUAUCUCAAAGCCGUAAUCGACAAACGCAUCAAGCUCUUUGAAUCCAUUAAGUCUCAGCAACUCGCUAGCCUUCAAUCUCUAAACCACGACACUAUCAAGAUUACAUUGCCAGAUGGUACGGUGAAGGAAGGGAAGAAAUGGUUAUCGUCUCCUAUGGAUAUUGCUAAGGAGAUUUCUAAGAGUUUGGCGGCUAAUGCGUUGAUUGCACAAGUUGAUGGAACCCUUUGGGACAUGAAUAGGCCAUUAGAGUGCGAUUGUGAGCUUAAGCUUUUCACAUUUGAUAGUGAUGAAGGACGCGACACGUUUUGGCACUCUAGUGCUCACAUUCUUGGCCAGUCACUGGAGGCGACCUAUGGUUGCAAGCUUUGCAUUGGACCCUGUACCACGAGAGGAGAGGGAUUCUAUUAUGAUGCAUUCUAUGGUGAAUUGGGUCUGAAUGAUGAACAUUUUAAACAAAUUGAAGCUGGGGCACUGAAAGCAGUUGCGGAGAAGCAACCUUUUGAGCGCAUCGAAGUGUCAAGGGAACAAGCAUUAGAGAUCUUUUCAGAAAAUAAUUUUAAGGUUGAAAUCAUCAAUGAUCUUCCUGCAGACAAAACUAUAACUGUAUACAGAUGUGGCCCAUUGGUAGAUUUAUGUCGAGGUCCCCAUAUACCAAAUACAUCCUUUGUGAAAGCAUUUGCGUGUUUGAAGGCUUCAUCAGCUUAUUGGAGGGGUAACAAAGAUCGAGAAAGCUUACAGAGAGUUUAUGGGAUAUCCUAUCCGGACCAAAAACGUUUGAAGGAGUAUAUCCAACAGUUGGAAGAAGCAAAGAAGUAUGACCACAGAUUGUUGGGCACAAAGCAGGAGCUUUUCUUUUGUCACCCAUUGAGUCCUGGAAGUUGGUUUUUCCUUCCUUAUGGAACUCGAAUUUAUAACAAACUAGUGGAAUUUAUUCGAGCUCAAUACAGAGAUAGAGGCUAUGAAGAGGUCAAGUCUCCAAAUAUUUACAACAUGAAACUUUGGGAGACUUCUGGCCAUGCUGCAAAUUAUAAGGAAAAUAUGUUUUUGCUCGAGAUUGAAAAGCAGGAGUUUGGCCUGAAACCAAUGAAUUGCCCAGGGCACUGUUUAAUUUUUCAACAUAGAGUCCGCUCAUAUAGAGAACUUCCUCUUCGGCUGGCUGAUUUCGGGGCCUUGCAUCGCAAUGAGGCCAGUGGAGCACUUACUGGAUUAACACGCGUUCGGAGAUUUCAGCAGGAUGAUGCUCAUAUAUUCUGCAGGGAAUCACAGAUAAAAGCUGAAGUGAUGGGCGUCUUAGAAUUCAUUGAUUAUGCCUAUAAAGUAUUUGGUUUUACUUAUGAUCUGAAGCUAUCUACGAGGCCAGAGAAAUAUCUAGGAAAGUUGGAAACAUGGGAGAAAGCUGAGGAUGCUCUUAAACUAGCAUUGGAUGAGUUUGGGAAACCUUGGCAGAUUAAUGAAGGUGAUGGAGCUUUUUAUGGACCUAAGAUAGAUAUUAGUGUUUCUGAUGCUCUGAACAGGAAAUUUCAGUGUGCCACGUUGCAGCUUGACUUCCAGCUUCCGGAUCGUUUUGAGUUAGAGUACUCAGCAGAAGAUGAAGCCAAGAGGGAAAGACCCGUUAUGAUACACAGAGCCAUCCUAGGGUCUGUGGAGCGAAUGUUUGCCAUUCUAUUGGAACAUUACAAGGGGAAAUGGCCUUUCUGGCUUAGUCCUCGUCAAGCAAUUGUCUGCCCUGUCUCUGAGAAAUCCCAGCCAUAUGCAGAGCAGGUGCAGGCUCAGAUACAUAAAGCUGGUUAUCAUGUUGAUGUUGACACAACUGACAGAAAGAUUCAGAAAAAGGUGCGGGAAGCUCAGUUGGCACAGUACAACUUUAUAUUGGUCGUGGGUGAAGAGGAAGCCAAAACUGGACAGGUGAGUGUACGAGUGAGAGACAAGGGUGAUCACUCAGUAAUGAGCAUGGAGAGCCUACUGAAACACUUCGAAGAUGAGGUGGCUGCAUUUCAUUAGAUGGGAAAACAUUGAAGUGACUGUGUUGUGAUAUUUCAGUUGAUGAAAAGGUUUGUUUUUCAGAAAUUCGGACAUUUUGAACUUGGACCUACAAGCAGCGAAUUCGAAGAAAAUAAAAAUGAAAGCCAAUGAUAUCCUGAAAUGACGAGGAUUAGUCAAUGUCGAGAAAACUGUCAUCCUGAUUUCAAACCUAGGCAUCAGAAUGUAUAUACAAAUUUGAUCUUGCUAUUCACAUAUCGAUGGUUUCGUUGGAUAAGUAAUUUAUAUUUGAUAAAUUAAAUUUGCAA